UACUCCUACGGGAGGCAGCAGUGGGGAAUAUUCCGCAAUGGACGAAAGUCUGACGGAGCAACGCCGCGUGAGUGAUGAAGGUUUUCGGACUGUAAAGCUCUGUUGUUUAGGACGAAAGUGCCUGUUGCGAACAGUUACAGGUAUUGACGGUACUAAACGAGGAAGCCACGGCUAACUACGUGCCAGCAGCCGCGGUAAUA
RNAcentral lists this ribosomal RNA (200 nucleotides) under uncultured Veillonellaceae bacterium. RNAcentral describes it as "partial 16S ribosomal RNA". It matches the Rfam family "Bacterial small subunit ribosomal RNA", at positions 334 to 525 of the family's 1533-position model. Lineage: Bacteria; Bacillati; Bacillota; Negativicutes; Veillonellales; Veillonellaceae. RNAcentral also lists the same sequence under 1 other name. The record is from RNAcentral.